AUGUACCACGCGUGCACGUCGGUUCCUCCGCGGCGUACGCACCUAGCGACCGCCCGCUCCGUGUUGAUAGCC
Molecule: small RNA, 72 nt
Filed under: Xanthomonas floridensis
Lineage: Bacteria; Pseudomonadati; Pseudomonadota; Gammaproteobacteria; Lysobacterales; Lysobacteraceae
Description: sX9 sRNA
Rfam family: Xanthomonas sRNA sX9
Source: RNAcentral